GACAGAGGGUGCAAGCGUUGUUCGGAAUCAUUGGGCGUAAAGGGUGCGUAGGCGGUUUUAUAAGUUGGAUGUGAAAGCCCAGGGCUCAACCUUGGAAGUGCAUCCAAGACUGUAAGACUAGAAUCUUGGAGAGGGUAGUGGAAUUCCCAGUGUAGAAGUGAAAUUCGUAGAUAUUGGGAGGAACAUCAGUGGCGAAGGCGACUGCCUGGCUAAAGAUUGACGCUGAGGCACGAAAGCGUGGGGAUCAAACAGG
RNAcentral lists this ribosomal RNA (253 nucleotides) under uncultured bacterium. RNAcentral describes it as "partial 16S ribosomal RNA". It matches the Rfam family "Bacterial small subunit ribosomal RNA", at positions 524 to 776 of the family's 1533-position model. The record is from RNAcentral.